Molecule: ribosomal RNA, 330 nt
Filed under: Escherichia coli
Lineage: Bacteria; Pseudomonadati; Pseudomonadota; Gammaproteobacteria; Enterobacterales; Enterobacteriaceae
Description: bacterial SSU rRNA
Rfam family: Bacterial small subunit ribosomal RNA
Source: RNAcentral
CCAAAGAGAGGGACCUUCGGGCCUCUUGCCAUCGGAUGUGCCCAGAUGGCAUUAACUAGCAGGUGGGGUAACGGCUCACCUAGGCGACCAUCCCUAGCUGGUCUGAGAGGAUGACCAGCCACACUGGAACUGAGACACGGACCAGACUCCUACGGGAGGCAGCAGUGGGGAAUAUUGCACAAUGGGCGCAAGCCUGAUGCAGCCAUGCCGCGUGUAUUAAAAAGGACUUUGGGUUGUAAAGUACUUUCAGCGGGGAAGAAGGGAGUAAAGUUAAUACCUUUGCUCAUUGACGUUACCCGCAGAAUAAGCACCGGCUAACUCCGUGCCAGC